This is a long non-coding RNA of Anolis carolinensis (green anole), 2485 nucleotides long. NCBI's taxonomy places the organism in Eukaryota, Metazoa, Chordata, Lepidosauria, Squamata, Anolidae. The record is from Ensembl.
AUGUAUUUUAGGAUGAUGUGCGCAGAUCCCAGUAGGGUGGCCUUUUGCAGUUGGACACUCUGCUGGCUGUUGUAUUGGAUCACACGUCGGACACUUUCCAAGUGUCUAGAACUGUGUGAUGUAUCGGCGAAUAAUGUGUGUAGAUCCCAUUAUUAUUAUUAUUAUUAUUAUUAUUAUUAUUAUUAUUAUUAUUAUGACACAGCAAACAAGAUAGAUAUGCUGGAUUUCGUAUCACAAAAUCACAAGUCGAACACUUCCCAAGUGUCUAGGACUGUGCGAUGUAUUUUCGGAUGAUGCGUGCAGAUCCCAGUAGGGUGGCAUUAAUGGGCUUGCUGUCCAGCUGCAAAAAUGGUCAUGAUCUGGUUCUCUGAUAUGGUAAUAUUCACACUGUAUUUGUCUCUGUAGAACUGCACCAAAAGUAAGAAAGCUGAAGAAUCAUUGUGUAGUAUACAGAAGAAUUUUUUACAACACACUACUGCUUUGUAUAGGUCUUCCCUAUAGAAACAUCCUACCCAUUAUCACAAUGGCCAGCUUGCUAGCAGUCAAAUACUAUGGGAUCACAGAAGCACAGAAUGACUGGCAUAUAUAGUAAAGGAGAAAAUGGGUGUCAUGAAGGUUAGCACUUAGCUAAUAGCCAAGAUGUUAGACCAGGCGAAGCAAGAGAACAAAUCUUUUACUUCUCAUCUAUGGUUUUUUCCCCCUUUAACACUGGUAGACACAUUUUAUCUAGCAUUUGUCACCUCUGAGAGCUGCAGGUGCUCAAAUGGAUUUUAGCAAAUGCCUCCAACUGUGUGACAUCUGGAAGCUGUCACCAGACUAACAAGACGUAGCCUUUUGUCAUUGGGCCUGCUUUGGCAGGUGCUUUGUGGCUUUAUUUAUUUAUUGUUCCCUCUUCCUUCCAUUGUCAAGGCAAAAUUCCAUGAAUUAGUUCAAGCAACAACAAGGUUUUCCCUUUCAAACUGCUGUUGACCAAAUGUAAACAACACAAUAUUCCAAAAGUUCAUCGUGCAAAUUCCAUUUUCCCCCAUAAUCACCGUUGCAAUUCACAUAUAGAAUCUUCUCAUUUUAUUUCCUCAUCCCAGAGAUAUGAUGCCUUCAAACACAGGAGUUAUUUGCAUAUGGUGCCCCAAAAAUGUAUUUUUUCACCAAUAGCAGGUCUGAUUGAUGGGGAUGAGAGACAGGGCCUUCUCAGUGGUGGCUCCUUGUCUGUGGAAGUUCCUUCCUAAUGAAAUCAGAUCGGUCCCCUCCCUUCUAUCCUUUAGGAAAAAAAUUAAAACAUGGUUAUGGGACCAAGCAUUCAAGCAGCAGACGCAGCAAUAAUAAUGAGAAUGAUUUAUAUGACUAACAAUGGACAGACCUUGGACUAUGACUUGAAACUGAAAUUUUUUAAAUGGAUGUUUUUAUAAUUGAUGUUUUAACUGUUUUUAACUGUAUUUUUAAUAAUUGUUUUGUUUGGCAUCUAAUUAUUGCCAGUUGUAAGGCCAUCCCGGGGGGGGGGGGGGGAUGAGAAGGACUUGAUACAAAUGUAUUAAAUAAGUAAGUAAGUAAGUAAAUGAAAUAAAAUUGUGUGGGAAAGGAAUAAUUAUGUAAUUAACAUAAGUUAAUAAUUUUUAAUCUGAUUUAUAGUGUACUGUAUAAUUUUUAUAUGUGUGUUUAUUGUAAGCCGCCCUGAGUCCCCUCUCGGGUGAGAAGGGUGGGAUAUAAAUGUUGUAAUAAUAAAUAAAUAAAUAAUAACAUGCAUAAAUGUGAUAAUCCAGUCAGAAUCUUUCUUGUUGAACUCCUGUGCCUUAAAAAGGGCAACAACCCAGUUUUUCUUUACAGAAUGAUGGUGACAACACUCCCAUCCAAAAGGUAUCUCAGCAAUGAAGACACAGAUAACGUAGCUUCAAUUCAGAUGCAUUGUGAAGCAAAACCUCCGAUGCUUUGUGGUGAAAUGUGUGCUGAGGGGCACAUCUCCAAAGUGAAGGUCACUUUUCAAUAUUUCCUUUUAAAGGCAAAGGAUGGUGAUGGAUGAAACAAACAUGUAGAAGAGUAAGCAAAAAGAUCCAAACACCUACUCUGAAAUUUCCCCAUACCAAUUCUCUCUCCUCCACACGAUAUGCAUAAACUGCCUCUCCAUUUUUGCAGCCUGCAAUACGGGUUCCUAGUUGAAAGCAUUUUUAGAUUAAUUGUAUAGCAUUAGAAAAGGUUGUAGUUCACACUGGGUGGAAAUGGUAAAAGGCAUUUAGAAUUAUGCAAGCAUCCAAAAGCACGACCGUGAUAAUAGAAUUCCAGAAUCAUAGACUUGGAAGAGAUCACAAGGGCCAUUCAUUCCAACCUCUUUCUGCCAUGUAGGAAGACACAGUUAAAGCACUGCUGGCUGAUGGCCAUUCAGUUGUUUUUUUUUAAGCAUAAGAGAAGGAGAUUUUUUUUAAGCAUAAGAGAAGGAGAGGUGUCCAAUUCUGGGCACCUCAAUUGAAGGGAGAUGUUGACAAGCUGGAAAGCA